GCCUUCGUGGUGUAGUAGUGGUCAGCACACUCGACGCGUAACCGAAAGGUCCGUGGUUCGAUUCCCAGUGAAGGCG
RNAcentral lists this transfer RNA (76 nucleotides) under Stegodyphus mimosarum. It matches the Rfam family "tRNA". From Rfam's summary of the family: Transfer RNA (tRNA) molecules are approximately 80 nucleotides in length. Their secondary structure includes four short double-helical elements and three loops (D, anti-codon, and T loops). Further hydrogen bonds mediate the characteristic L-shaped molecular structure. tRNAs have two regions of fundamental functional importance: the anti-codon, which is responsible for specific mRNA codon recognition, and the 3' end, to which the tRNAs corresponding amino acid is attached (by aminoacyl-tRNA synthetases). tRNAs cope with the degeneracy of the genetic code in two manners: having more than one tRNA (with a specific anti-codon) for a particular amino acid; and 'wobble' base-pairing, i.e. permitting non-standard base-pairing at the 3rd anti-codon position. The record is from Rfam by way of RNAcentral. Lineage: Eukaryota; Metazoa; Arthropoda; Arachnida; Araneae; Eresidae.